Molecule: long non-coding RNA, 1439 nt
Filed under: Brassica rapa (field mustard)
Lineage: Eukaryota; Viridiplantae; Streptophyta; Magnoliopsida; Brassicales; Brassicaceae
Description: long non-coding RNA (BRAP_LNC008315)
Source: RNAcentral
CCAAUAAUGAUUUCAAGAAUUUUAAUCAUAUUUUUCUUCCUCCCAACAAGCUAGGCAUUUCGAAUCGUGACUGUGACCAGUUUUACAAGUGCAUCACAUCCGUCUUCUCGAAGUCCAUGCCUCUCCACAUUUGCCUUGCAUAACUACCUCAAUGUUUCCGUUGUAGAAGACGCUCUGGUAUGGAUUCCUUCCACGGGAAGAUGAUAUAACCCACCAGAUCAAAUAUUCCAGGCUCUGCAACAGGGAGGAGUUUGAUCAAUUGCUCUGGUAUGGCUACGCUUUCCAUUUUCCAGUUUUUCUGUAUAUCACUCUCUCCUGCCGUGAACCACAAAACAUAUCACUCAACCUGAACAACAUUAAAAAGCUGAACUUUAAAACACAUCGAAAGAUCACUCCUUCUCUACACAGCUAAAGUCAGAAACAUUGGAUAAAACAGUAAACUUUACAAUUUAAAACGAAGUUUGUCUCCUAAAGAAAGCUAUUAAGUAAACAGAAUAAGAUUCAACUUUCAUGGCAAAUCCUUUCCAUCCACUUCAUCUACCAAAAAAAGAGAAAAAAUCAGAAUCAAACUUCAUGGCAAAUCCUUACCAUGGUCUUUUUCUAGCCUAUAUAAACUAUAUAUAACCCAUCAUCUUCAAAUCACAAACCUACAAAAAUAGAAAUAAUAUUCAUCAAGAGUUUCAACUAAGAGCAAAAUUCAGAUCUAAUAAAACUCAAACAAAACCCAGAUUUGUCUAUUCGACGGUGGUAAUCCUCCAUACAGCCUCUCCUCUCUUCCUCCACACUCCUCUCUGCUCCUCUACACCGUAUCGAUCCUCUGGUUCGUCUUCACACUUCGAUUAUUCAAACUUCACCAAAAUCAAAGCCACACAGAAGAGAUGAUGAGAAAGUAAAUAAUUUGUAGAUCUAAAAAGGAGGAGGGGAUUCAUUACCAUUAAUUGAUAGAAACGGUAGUGGAGAUGGAGAGACAUGAGAAGAGAUCUCCUGAUGGUGGAGAGACAUGGAGCAGAGAUCCGAGGGAAUAGAAGAACAGACGUGGAGAGCGAGAGAGAGAGACGGGAAGAGUAGAGACGUAAUAGCCGGAGAGGAGCGGAGCUGUCACGAAGUAGGAGAGGAGGCAUCACGGUGCUUAAUAACUUCACGUAGGAGAGAGGCAGAGGAGGAGAGGAGGUGUCACAAAGUUAUGAUCUGUAACUUAAAUGAAAUGCUAGUUUUUGGGAUGGUUGGACACGUGUCGUGCUCACAAAGCUCGACUUAUCUAGGUGGAAUCCUAGGUGUCCUAAGGAGAAGAGAACAAACUGUUUCUUUAUAUAUAAAAGAGUGUUUUGCUCUCUCCUGAGGCUGCCACCUAGGAUUCCACUUAGGAAAGUCGCUUCACGAGGAGUCAACACGUGUCCCGCCUCCUCGAAACACAGCGUUUCAUUAAAGGAAUCAGCGAU